CCUACGGGCGGCUGCAGUGGGGAAUCUUCGGCAAUGAGCGCAAGCUUGACCGAGCGACGCCGCGUGCGGGAUGAAGGCCUUCGGGUUGUAAACCGCUUUGGUCCGAAAGAAAGGGUAAAACUUGAUCGAUCGGAGAAACAAGGACGGGCUAAGUUCGUGCCAGCAGCCGCGGUAAGACGAACCGUCCAAACGUUAUUCGGAAUCACUGGGCUUAAAGGGCGCGUAGGCGGCCGAGCGGGUCGUGGGUGAAAUCCCCCAGCUUAACUGGGGAACUGCUUACGAUACCACUGCGGCUCGAGGAAGGAAGGGGCAAUUGGAACUGUCGGUGGAGCGGUGAAAUGCGUUGAUAUCGACAGGAACGCCUGUGGCGAAAGCGAAUUGCUGGUCCUUUUCUGACGCUGAGGCGCGAAAGCCAGGGGAGCAAACGGGCUUAGAUACCCGGGUAGUC
This 448-nucleotide ribosomal RNA is filed under the name uncultured Gemmata sp. RNAcentral describes it as "bacterial SSU rRNA". It matches the Rfam family "Bacterial small subunit ribosomal RNA", at positions 338 to 795 of the family's 1533-position model. Lineage: Bacteria; Pseudomonadati; Planctomycetota; Planctomycetia; Gemmatales; Gemmataceae. The record is from RNAcentral.